This is a long non-coding RNA of Mauremys reevesii (Reeves's turtle), 422 nucleotides long. RefSeq lists it as uncharacterized. The record is from RefSeq and is a predicted model, not a curated record. The transcript is spliced from 3 exons. NCBI's taxonomy places the organism in Eukaryota, Metazoa, Chordata, Testudines, Geoemydidae.
UGCUAGCUGGGAAUUGCUUUCUGCAGCCAGUUUGGAUGUGACACCUUUUCUUUUGGCUCUGGUAGUAUCCUCAACAGGUCACUGCCCCAUGUUCCUAGAGAGAUCUGCCAAACAAUGGAAUUUAAAAUGAUAACAUAGAGGAAAAUCUGGUCUGUUUUUACUAUCCUGCUAGGACACGAUUUGUGGAACUUGGACGUCUCCUGCAAGAGUUGAGAUGACAUCACAGACACCUAAAACAAGGGUUAUCCAGCUGUUGAUCAGAAGUUGGUGAGAGGAUACCUUCAAAGGAAUGGACACCUGUAUUGUAGACAUCACAGCUAUCUGCCAGUCUCCAAAGAAAUGAAACAAGGUGUGACUCAAAACAAUGGAAACCCACUGGGGAUGGGAAGCCCAAAGGAAGAGGAAGGGCCUCUUGAAACAAG